RNAcentral lists this unclassified non-coding RNA (213 nucleotides) under Hevea brasiliensis (rubber tree). Lineage: Eukaryota; Viridiplantae; Streptophyta; Magnoliopsida; Malpighiales; Euphorbiaceae. The record is from RNAcentral.
GAAUGGAUUUCAUCCAGUUAGCAAGCAAGUCAAAGUGGAAGGAUUAGUUGAGGAGGAGGAGGUAUAUCCUUGGGCCAUGGAGAAUUCCUUUGGAACGUCUAAUGGAAAUGGGCUAUUGGGCAAUGGCCCUACAACUACAAGACACAGUUCUUAUUAUCCCAGCAAUAAGGUUUCGAUACCUUGGCUUGCUUGCUAACUGGAUGAAAUCCAUUC